UGAACGCUGCAGCAAAGACAAGAAGU
Molecule: non-coding RNA, 26 nt
Filed under: Cricetulus griseus (Chinese hamster)
Lineage: Eukaryota; Metazoa; Chordata; Mammalia; Rodentia; Cricetidae
Source: RNAcentral